CUGAGGAGUGAGGGAAGACGGAAAGAGCCUGAGUCCAGUUUUCUUCUGACAUUCCAGAGGCAGUUCUAUGAAGGUCAGUCACUCCGGAAUGGCUUCCUGCCAAAGAAUCACUCUGAAGCACUCAGAAACUCUGAAAGAAAGAUCACAGAAUACUGGCAAUGAAUAUGGAAACUGGAGAAUACCACAAAGCUAUAAGUUGCUGAUCAGGUUGGAGACAGCAAGGGAGGCCGGAGAUGCAGGAGGAUCCAUCUGGAGCCCAGGUGGGAAGGUAGAGUGGACAGGGACAGGUGAGUCCAUUGGCUAUGGGGCAACCCUCAGGAGUGUUCUGGCUACUGCACAGUCCCCCACCCCCAGAUCCAUAGACCCCUACAGCUCACCCCAGUACCAAUCACUGGGCCUGUCUGACUUUGCACCAUGA
Molecule: long non-coding RNA, 418 nt
Filed under: Nannospalax galili (Upper Galilee mountains blind mole rat)
Lineage: Eukaryota; Metazoa; Chordata; Mammalia; Rodentia; Spalacidae
Description: lncRNA (ENSNGAG00000024500.1)
Source: RNAcentral